AUAUUUUGAAAAGUAAAAUUAGCUUAAAAUGUUAAUUGGGUGUAUCAAAUGGGUAAAUCAAUAUAAGGAUAAGGAGUUUGAGUAAAGGGUAUUGAAAGAAUUAUAAUAGCUAUAACAUGGUACCGUAAGGGAAGAUUGAAAUAUUUGAAAAAUAAUUUAGUAAAAAGUAGACUUGGUGUUGUACCUUUUGUAUCAGGGUUUAAUAAUUAAUUUAAGGGAUCUUAAAAUCUCGAUGUGAGGAGAGCUAUAAAUCUAGAAUAGUUUAGGUAGCAAACUAAUUGUACAUAGAGUUAUAGGAAUGAAAUAUUAGCCGGUCCUCAAGGUAUCUAGUUUCUUAAGAAAUGAAUUUAAUUCAGGGAUUUCAAGAAGUUAGAGUCUUACUCUUUAACUUUUUAUAGGUCCUAAUAUUGAGGGGGAUAAGCUCCACAGUAUAGUUAAAACUAAGACAGAAAGAAAACCCGUAGGCUUGAAAGUAGCCAUCAGUUUAAGGGUGUUAUAAUUUAUUUUCUAAGGAUUUAAUUUUAUGGGGUUUAAAGAAGGUAUUAAGAAUUAAUCUUGAAUAAAGAAAGAUUAGGUAUAAUGUUAAAAUGAGUAUAGAAUAUGAAUAGGGUAUAAAGUCUCAAGAAGGAACUCGGCAAAUAUAAUGCUCGCCUGUUUAUCAAAAACACCGCCUUUUGAAUAUGUAGAAGGUCUAGCCUGCCCACUGAAAUAAUUAAAGGGCCGCGGUAUAUUGACCGUGCAAAGGUAGCAUAAUCAUUAGUCUUCUAAUUAAAGGCUGGAAUGAAUGGUUGGACGAGGUAUUAGCUGUCUCCUUGGGAUUAACUAAAAUUUAACUUUUUAGUCAAAAGGCUGAAAUGUUGUUGGAGGACGAGAAGACCCUAUAGAUCUUUAUAUUUAAAUUAUUAAGUCACUUUAGAUGGGCUAAGAUUUGAUAAGGAAAAUAUUUUGUUGGGGUGACAGGAAGAUAAGAGAAACUAUUUUUAAAAGAGACCAUUGAUGUAUGAUUGAAUGAUCCGUAAUAACGAUUAAAAGACUAAGUUACCUUAGGGAUAACAGCGUAAUCUUUUUUGAGAGUUCUAAUCGACAAAAAGGGUUGCGACCUCGAUGUUGGACUAAGGGUUAUUCUUGGGUGUAGAAGUUCAAGGUUUAGGUCUGUUCGACCUUUGAAUCCUUACAUGAUCUGAGUUCAGACCGGCGUAAGCCAGGUUGGUUUCUAUCCUCAAUUUUUAAUAAUAUUUUAGUACGAAAGGACCAAAUAUUAGGGAAAUUCUUUAUAAUCUGAAUAUCAAUA
Molecule: ribosomal RNA, 1291 nt
Filed under: Epeorus sp. JZ-2014
Lineage: Eukaryota; Metazoa; Arthropoda; Insecta; Ephemeroptera; Heptageniidae
Description: 16S ribosomal RNA
Rfam family: Bacterial large subunit ribosomal RNA
Source: RNAcentral